AGAUUGAACGCUAGCGGGAUGCUUUACACAUGCAAGUCGAACGGCAGCGCGGACUUCGGUCUGGCGGCGAGUGGCGAACGGGUGAGUAAUAUAUCGGAACGUGCCCAGUAGCGGGGGAUAACUACGCGAAAGCGUGGCUAAUACCGCAUACGCCCUACGGGGGAAGGGGGGAUUCUUCGGAACCUCUCACUAUUGGAGCGGCCGAUAUCAGAUUAGCUAGUUGGUGAGGUAAAGGCUCACCAAGGCGACGAUCUGUAGCUGGUUUGAGAGGACGACCAGCCACACUGGGACUGAGACACGGCCCAG
This 306-nucleotide ribosomal RNA is filed under the name uncultured soil bacterium. RNAcentral describes it as "bacterial SSU rRNA". It matches the Rfam family "Bacterial small subunit ribosomal RNA", at positions 26 to 334 of the family's 1533-position model. The record is from RNAcentral.